UGGCUCAGUGGUAGAGCUCUUACUUUGCAUGUACAAAGUCCUGGGUUCAAUCCCCAG
RNAcentral lists this transfer RNA (57 nucleotides) under Cavia porcellus (domestic guinea pig). It matches the Rfam family "tRNA", at positions 8 to 63 of the family's 71-position model. From Rfam's summary of the family: Transfer RNA (tRNA) molecules are approximately 80 nucleotides in length. Their secondary structure includes four short double-helical elements and three loops (D, anti-codon, and T loops). The record is from Rfam by way of RNAcentral. Lineage: Eukaryota; Metazoa; Chordata; Mammalia; Rodentia; Caviidae.